UGGGGAAUAUUGGGCAAUGGGCGCAAGCCUGACCCAGCAACGCCGCGUGAAGGAAGAAGGCUUUCGGGUUGUAAACUUCUUUUCUCAGGGACGAAGAAAGUGACGGUACCUGAGGAAUAAGCCACGGCUAACUACGUGCCAGCAGCCGCGGUAAUACGUAGGUGGCAAGCGUUAUCCGGAUUUACUGGGUGUAAAGGGCGUGUAGGCGGGACUGCAAGUCAGAUGUGAAAACUCAGGGCUCAACCCUGAGCCUGCAUUUGAAACUGUAGUUCUUGAGUACUGGAGAGGCAGACGGAAUUCCUAGUGUAGCGGUGAAAUGCGUAGAUAUUAGGAGGAACACCAGUGGCGAAGGCGGUCUGCUGGACAGCAACUGACGCUGAGGCGCGAAAGCGUGGGGAGCAAACAGG
Molecule: ribosomal RNA, 407 nt
Filed under: bacterium
Lineage: Bacteria
Also listed under: 1 other name
Description: bacterial SSU rRNA
Rfam family: Bacterial small subunit ribosomal RNA
Source: RNAcentral